GACUCUCGGCAACGGAUAUCUCGGCUCACGCAUCGAUGAAGAACGUAGCAAAAUGCGAUACUUGGUGUGAAUUGCAGAAUCCCGUGAACCAUCGAGUUUUUGAACGCAAGUUGCGCCCGAAGCCUUYCGGCCGAGGGCACGUCUGCCUGGGCGUCACAC
This 159-nucleotide ribosomal RNA is filed under the name Ligularia sagitta. RNAcentral describes it as "5.8S ribosomal RNA". It matches the Rfam family "5.8S ribosomal RNA". From Rfam's summary of the family: 5.8S ribosomal RNA (5.8S rRNA) is a component of the large subunit of the eukaryotic ribosome. It is transcribed by RNA polymerase I as part of the 45S precursor that also contains 18S and 28S rRNA. The record is from RNAcentral. Lineage: Eukaryota; Viridiplantae; Streptophyta; Magnoliopsida; Asterales; Asteraceae.